This 1097-nucleotide ribosomal RNA is filed under the name fungal endophyte. Its description in RNAcentral is "eukaryotic LSU rRNA". The stretch from base 505 to 1097 matches the Rfam family "Eukaryotic large subunit ribosomal RNA", at positions 1 to 602 of the family's 3401-position model. The record is from RNAcentral. Lineage: Eukaryota; Fungi.
UAAGAGUAAGGGUGCUAGUCGCCCGACCUCCACCCUCUGUUGUUAAAACUACCUUGUUGCUUUGGCGGGACCGCUCGGUCUCGAGCCGCAGGGGCUUCGGCCCAGGCGAGCGCCCGCCAGAGUUAAACCAAACUCUUUGUUUUUAUAACCGGUCGUCUGAGUAAAAUUUUUGAAUAAAUCAAAACUUUCAACAACGGAUCUCUUGGUUCUCGCAUCGAUGAAGAACGCAGCGAAAUGCGAUAAGUAAUGUGAAUUGCAGAAUUCAGUGAAUCAUCGAAUCUUUGAACGCACAUUGCGCCCCUUGGUAUUCCGAGGGGCAUGCCUGUUCGAGCGUCAUUACACCACUCAAGCACUGCUUGGUAUUGGGCACCGUCCCCCUCCUCUGGGGGGCGAGCCUCAAAGACCUCGGCGAGGCCUCACCGGCUUUAGGCGUAGUAGAAUUCUUUCGAACGUCUUUAAAUGGGGAGGACUUCUGCCGACAGAAGCCUUUAAUUUUUCUAAGGUUGACCUCGGAUCAGGUAGGGAUACCCGCUGAACUUAAGCAUAUCAAUAAGCGGAGGAAAAGAAACCAACAGGGAUUGCCCCAGUAACGGCGAGUGAAGCGGCAACAGCUCAAAUUUGAAAGCUGGCCUUCGGGUCCGCAUUGUAAUUUGUAGAGGAUGCUUUGGGGCAGCCGCCUGUCUAAGUUCCUUGGAACAGGACGUCAUAGAGGGUGAGAAUCCCGUAUGUGACAGGACAUGGCACCCUAUGUAAAGCUCCUUCGACGAGUCGAGUUGUUUGGGAAUGCAGCUCUAAAUGGGAGGUAAAUUUCUUCUAAAGCUAAAUACCGGCGAGAGACCGAUAGCGCACAAGUAGAGUGAUCGAAAGAUGAAAAGCACUUUGGAAAGAGAGUUAAAAAGCACGUGAAAUUGUUGAAAGGGAAGCGCUUGCAAUCAGACUUGUUUUGACUGUUCGGCCGGUCUUCUGACCGGUUUACUCAGUCUGGACAGGCCAGCAUCAGUUUUGGCGGCCGGAUAAAGGCCCAGGGAAUGUGGCUCUCACUUCGGUGGGAGUGUUAUAGCCCUGGGUGUAAUACGGCCAGCCGGGACGAGGUCCGC